RNAcentral lists this transfer RNA (90 nucleotides) under Mustela putorius furo (domestic ferret). It matches the Rfam family "tRNA". From Rfam's summary of the family: Transfer RNA (tRNA) molecules are approximately 80 nucleotides in length. Their secondary structure includes four short double-helical elements and three loops (D, anti-codon, and T loops). Further hydrogen bonds mediate the characteristic L-shaped molecular structure. tRNAs have two regions of fundamental functional importance: the anti-codon, which is responsible for specific mRNA codon recognition, and the 3' end, to which the tRNAs corresponding amino acid is attached (by aminoacyl-tRNA synthetases). tRNAs cope with the degeneracy of the genetic code in two manners: having more than one tRNA (with a specific anti-codon) for a particular amino acid; and 'wobble' base-pairing, i.e. permitting non-standard base-pairing at the 3rd anti-codon position. The record is from Rfam by way of RNAcentral. Lineage: Eukaryota; Metazoa; Chordata; Mammalia; Carnivora; Mustelidae.
GCCUGGUUGGCUCAGUCGGUUACAGCGCCCGACUCGGUUUCAGCUCAGGUCAUGAUCUCAGGGUCAUGGGAUCAAAUCCCAUGUCGGGCU